AAUGAACAUUGAUAUCAUCGAAUGCAUUUUCCUCAAUUCAGUUUAUUUUCCACAAACUAUAAAACUACAUUCUCUUUCGUGAGAAUUUGAAUCUAUUGCGACAGAAGAUGGAACUACAAAAGAGAACAGAAGUUUCAUCUGAUCAUCAAUAGGAAUACCGAUAUUCGUAAAUUGUAAACUUUUAAUAAACAUGAAUCACCCAGUCAAUUCAGUCUUGGAUUGGAGUAAAAGUUGUACUACCAUGAAACAGUAUUAAACAGAUAGAAAAACUC
Harmonia axyridis is the source of this 272-nucleotide long non-coding RNA. RefSeq lists it as uncharacterized. NCBI's taxonomy places the organism in Eukaryota, Metazoa, Arthropoda, Insecta, Coleoptera, Coccinellidae. The record is from RefSeq and is a predicted model, not a curated record. The transcript is spliced from 2 exons.